RNAcentral lists this ribosomal RNA (439 nucleotides) under uncultured bacterium. RNAcentral describes it as "partial 16S ribosomal RNA". It matches the Rfam family "Bacterial small subunit ribosomal RNA", at positions 339 to 795 of the family's 1533-position model. The record is from RNAcentral.
CUACGGGUGGCUCCAGUGAGGAAUAUUGCACAAUGGGGGGAACCCUGAUGCAGCAACGCCGCGUGGAGGAUGGCGCAUUUCGGUGUGUAAACUCCUUUUAUAUGUCAAGAAAAUGACGGUAGCAUAUGAAUAAGCACCGGCUAACUCCGUGCCAGCAGCCGCGGUAAUACGGAGGGUGCAAGCGUUACUCGGAAUCACUGGGCGUAAAGGACGCGUAGGCGGGUUGGAAAGUCAGGUGUGAAAUCCUACAGCUUAACUGUAGAACUGCACUUGAAACUUCUAAUCCAGAGUAUGGGAGGGGGAGAUGGAAUUAGUGGUGUAGGGGUAAAAUCCGUAGAUAUCACUAGGAAUACCUAAAGCGAAGGCGAUCUCCUGGAACAUUACUGACGCUAAGGCGUGAAAGCGUGGGGAGCAAACAGGAUUAGAUACCCCCGUAGUC